RNAcentral lists this unclassified non-coding RNA (334 nucleotides) under soil metagenome. Its description in RNAcentral is "partial contains 5.8S ribosomal RNA, internal transcribed spacer 2, and large subunit ribosomal RNA". The stretch from base 1 to 120 matches the Rfam family "5.8S ribosomal RNA", at positions 35 to 154 of the family's 154-position model. The record is from RNAcentral.
GAUGAAGAACGUAGCGAAAUGCGAUAAGUAGUGUGAAUUGCAGAAUUCAGUGAAUCAUCGAAUCUUUGAACGCACAUUGCGCCCCUUGGUAUUCCAUGGGGCAUGCCUGUUCGAGCGUCAUUUGUACCUUCAAGCUCUGCUUGGUGUUGGGUGAUUGUCUAUCUUUGUAGACUCGCCUUAAAGUCAUUGGCAGCCGGCAUAUUGGCCUGGGAGCGCAGCACAAGUCGCGCUUCUUGUCAUGAAUGUUGGCGUCCAGUAAGUCUACAUAUUUUGCUCUUGACCUCGGAUCAGGUAGGGAUACCCACUGAACUUAAGCAUAUCAAUAAGCGGAGGA